UGCUCACAAAUUGAGCAACAGCCGUUAUAAUAAAAAGUCUGGAGAGUUAAGAGAUAGUUUGUGCUAUCGCUUGCUUGUUUUUUGGUGUGAGCGUUGAGUGUUUUUUUUGUUAGCGCGACUUGUAUGAUUAUUAAUGAAUAAUGAAGCGGGUACGAGGGAAUUAUAUUGUGUAAGGAAGGCUCAGUGUCGGUUUCGUCACAAGUCGGUUAAUCGUGCUGGAAAGAUACUAUGAAAUUCAAGAUUUUGUGUUUGCAUUUUAUGUUUAUUUCAGGUAUGUUUUUCGAUGUUUUUUUUUCUAAAUGAAAGGUAGAUAUAGAAUCUGAUGAAACUAAAGCGGUCGAUCCGUUAUACGCAUUCCCAAGGCCAAAGCGGACAAAUGUCAUCAGUCGCGUGCAUGUGGACAGUUUUGUGUCAUAUAUGAUCUUAUCUGAGUAAAUGUGAAACGAGAAUUAUGAAGUUGGUAAGCGAGAGUUUGCACGACAGCGCUUUUCUGGCUCAACUUUCGUGCCCCAGUCGAACGAAAACAAGUGUUGCACUGCAGAUAGCAUAUAGUUGAUGAGAGUUGACUAGAUAUUAUCAACUAGAAUCGGAGAGUUGAUGACGGUUGUGAAGCGAGAGUUUGCAUGAGAGUUUUCUCAACUCGCAUGCCCCGGUCACUCGAGAACACAAGAGUUGUAUGAGAGUUGAUGAGAGUUGACUGGAUAUUACCGCACGCGUAGCGGAAACUCGAGUCUCAUCAACUCUCAUCAAAAUCUGAACCAUGACCAUUUCAAAAUUGACCGGAGAGUGGACUAUGUCUAAAACCAGUCUCGCUUGGUUUUAGCGGUCUCAUUAACGGCGAAAGCAUGCGGUAUAAUCAGUUAGAGCUCUUCGACAUGAGCACAAGGUGUCAAGGUAUAUAAAAGGCAUUUCAAAAGAAUAUACUCUUGUCUCUUCUCUUUGUUUUAAUCGUGCAGUACAGCAACGCCAACGGGCAACGGGAAAACAAAAGCCGACAAAUUUGAAAAUAACUUCUAAGCUUGUGUAUUCAGUACUGAAUCCACAUUACCUGGGCAGAGUUUUAAAAAUUCGUAUUUUUGUAUUGUUUUAAAAAAAAAUUGUAUGAUAAAAAACUGAGAAUUCAAUUCAGCAAUAUUUUACAUCGACAAAAAUUCCGUCCUCCCCAACAUGAGUAAUGUUGUCUGAUGUUAAUAUUUGCCGUCAAGUGAGCAAAAUUUCCCAUUGCAUUUGACUUUUAAUUAUUCAUUUUUUAAUUUUCCACAGUGAUACAUGUCUGUGCUAAUAACCGUCACCGAGUACCUGUUUAGUGUCGAGAGUACUCUCAAAUUGGUGUUUGUAUUACAUUCGGCGAAUAUAAAUAUCGUCUGGUGAUGUACGUGACGUUUGCGUGUACUACUUUUAAGGCAGCAUUCAUUUUACAAAAGAAGCGACAACGAGCAAAGUAAUGGGGAGAGGGGGGUGAUCAACCAAGGGGUCUGCAUGGGGCUGAUUCUCGCUCUGAACUGACAUUUUGCCGGAUUUCAAAGCCUCAGAAAGGCAUUUCCGAUAGCCCGACUAUUCAGUGUUCGUUAAAACAGCCUCCAUAUUAUAACCAAUCUUUCGAAGAUGCAACUAUCUGAGAGAUAUGAGAAGAAUUUCGACGUUUUCGAGCGAAGGCACUUCGACUUCGUCUGCAGUUACUAGCGGGGCUCGGGAAUAUUACACUGUACUCUAUAGCUAUUACAUGAGCUUUUAUACUAAGAAUAUAAUAGCGAGAAAUUGAGAAUAUAACACCAGCCUGACUAAGAAAAUAUAUAUUUCAGAGGGCAUGCAAUGUAAACCGUAUAAAAGAAAAUUGCGGAAAAAGAACGUCAAAAUCUAAAAUUCAAAUUCAUGAAGCUAUAGCAUAAAAUCUUCAUCAGUGUUGUUGACAGCUGCUAUCAAUAAUCUUUAGGACCCUAACAUUAUUGAAAGUAUAUUUACAUAGCAGUGGCUUUGUGGCUGUGGAACAAUAAAACCGAAUGAAUACUGAUUCAAAGUGAAAAUCAUGAUAUUAAUUUGACUCUGAAAAUGAAAUGGUUCAAGAAUUGAGGUUCUUUUACAUUACAUGUUAAGCAUAAAGUUGAAAGUUAAACUUAAAAAUCUCAAUGCAUGUAUAUCUCAGUCAGAUAAAUUACAUUGAUAAUAUAAAAUGCAAAACAUAUAUUCAAGUUUUUCAAGUGCAUGACAGUUUAUCACCGUGGACAGUUUAUCAGAAAGCUUUCCGUAGAGGCGCGAAGAAGCACCUAUAUCCGAUAUGGAAUGUACAACUUUCAUUAGCAACUUAGCGAAACAACAUCUCUUCGCCGACUUUUAUUAAGUAUAUAUCAAGCCGUAGUGGAAAGACUGUACUAUCAAUAGGCAAAUCAAUCUUACUAGACUCGGGUUUAGGACCCGAUAAAAGUAAUCAGGAAAAUCUCGCUUUCUGCAUAUUUGUUUGGCUGAGCUUUUUAGUAUAUUGAGUCGCAUUUUUCGUUUUGCAAAAAACAUAACUAUAGACAUAGUGAUCAUGCUAAGUCUCAUCAGUAACCGCCCAAAAUGAUAAUAGCAUUAUUGAAUAGAAUAUAGGCGCCUUGUCAAAUUUCAUUUAAAAAUUGUAAAAUAUUGUAAUAUAUCUAGUAUAGGCAUUUUAUAUAUACUAAUUACAAAUAAAUAUAUUUCACCCUUUGUCGGACACUGGGAAAUGUAUUAUGUCUACAAAAUUACUUCUGUAAACGUUUUAGAAUUUGAUAUGUCUCUCUCGUUUUUCAGUCGCGAUGUAAAACCAACUUAUAAAGUGUGAAAUAUAUAAAUGAAGUUCGAACUACGCGCAGUGUGUUCCGAAAUUUGAGUCUUAGAUUUCGUUUUAUCCAAGGUUUUAUUUUAUCGUCACUGACUCUAAUUCGAUACAUUCAAUGUUCUACAGUGCCUGCAUAAAAAUAUUGUCGAUAUUUUUUUCUACUAAUAUUUUUAUUUUUGGAACUGCGGUGUUUAUUCAUAGAAGUUUGUUUUCAGUUUCAGAGAAAGUAAUUGCUUUCCCGCAGCGACGAACUCCAACAGCGCAAGAGAAAUUAUACGAAAAUGUUUUGAAGAAUUACAGCAAGAGUUCAAGGCCAGUUAAUGAUCCGAAUAAAGCUUUAAAUUUAUCUUUCAAUUUUGAACUGACGAAAAUUUACGAUGUG
Non-coding RNA from Paramuricea clavata, 3179 nucleotides. NCBI's taxonomy places the organism in Eukaryota, Metazoa, Cnidaria, Anthozoa, Malacalcyonacea, Plexauridae. The record is from the annotation of a GenBank genome assembly.